This 457-nucleotide ribosomal RNA is filed under the name uncultured bacterium. Its description in RNAcentral is "bacterial SSU rRNA". It matches the Rfam family "Bacterial small subunit ribosomal RNA", at positions 28 to 493 of the family's 1533-position model. The record is from RNAcentral.
GAUGAACGCUGGCGGCGUGCUUAACACAUGCAAGUCGAACGGGAUCCCAGGAGCUUGCUCCUGGGUGAGAGUGGCGAACGGGUGAGUAAUGCGUGACCGACCUGCCCCAUACACCGGGAUAGCUCCUGGAAACGGGUGGUAAUGCCGGAUGCUCCAGUUGGAUGCAUGUCCUUCUGGGAAAGAUUCAUCGGUAUGGGAUGGGGUCGCGUCCUAUCAGCUUGAUGGCGGGGUAACGGCCCACCAUGGCUUCGACGGGUAGCCGGCCUGAGAGGGCGACCGGCCACAUUGGGACUGAGAUACGGCCCAGACUCCUACGGGAGGCAGCAGUGGGGAAUAUUGCACAAUGGGCGCAAGCCUGAUGCAGCGACGCCGCGUGCGGGAUGACGGCCUUCGGGUUGUAAACCGCUUUUGACUGGGAGCAAGCCCUUCGGGGUGAGUGUACCUUUCGAAUAAGCAC